GCUCUGGUGGCGGAAUUGGUAUACGCACAGGACUGAGGCUCCUGGCCAUUUUUUGGCAUGCGGGUUCAACUCCCGCCCAGAGCA
Molecule: transfer RNA, 84 nt
Rfam family: tRNA
About the family: Transfer RNA (tRNA) molecules are approximately 80 nucleotides in length. Their secondary structure includes four short double-helical elements and three loops (D, anti-codon, and T loops).